UACGGAGGGUGCAAACGUUGCUCGGAAUCAUUGGGCGUAAAGCGCACGUAGGCGGAUUGUUAAGUCGGAUGUGAAAUCCCUCAGCUUAACUGAGGAAGUGCACUCGAAACUGGCAGUCUUGAAUAUGGAAGAGGGUCGCGGAAUUCCCGGUGUAGAGGUGAAAUUCGUAGAUAUCGGGAGGAACACCAGUGGCGAAGGCGGCGACCUGGGCCAAUAUUGACGCUGAGGUGCGAAAGCGUGGGGAGCAAACAGG
This 253-nucleotide ribosomal RNA is filed under the name uncultured bacterium. RNAcentral's name for it is "partial 16S ribosomal RNA". It matches the Rfam family "Bacterial small subunit ribosomal RNA", at positions 524 to 776 of the family's 1533-position model. The record is from RNAcentral.